GACGAACGCUGGCGGCGUGCCUAAUACAUGCAAGUUGAGCGCUGAAGGUUGGUACUUGUACCAACUGGAUGAGCAGCGAACGGGUGAGUAACGCGUGGGGAAUCUGCCUUUGAGCGGGGGACAACAUUUGGAAACGAAUGCUAAUACCGCAUAAAAACUUUAAACACAAGUUUUAAGUUUGAAAGAUGCAAUUGCAUCACUCAAAGAUGAUCCCGCGUUGUAUUAGCUAGUUGGUGAGGUAAAGGCUCACCAAGGCGAUGAUACAUAGCCGACCUGAGAGGGUGAUCGGCCACAUUGGGACUGAGACACGGCCCAAACUCCUACGGGAGGCAGCAGUAGUGAAUCUUCGGCAAUGGACGAAAGUCUGACCGAGCAACGCCGCGUGAGUGAAGAAGGUUUUCGGAUCGUAAAACUCUGUUGGUAGAGAAGAACGUUGGUGAGAGCGGAAAGCUCAUCAAGUGACGGUAACUACCCAGAAAGGGACGGCUAACUACGUG
Molecule: ribosomal RNA, 497 nt
Filed under: uncultured bacterium
Lineage: Bacteria
Description: partial 16S ribosomal RNA
Rfam family: Bacterial small subunit ribosomal RNA
Source: RNAcentral